Heterocephalus glaber (naked mole-rat) is the source of this 1156-nucleotide long non-coding RNA. RefSeq lists it as uncharacterized. The record is from RefSeq and is a predicted model, not a curated record. NCBI's taxonomy places the organism in Eukaryota, Metazoa, Chordata, Mammalia, Rodentia, Bathyergidae.
GCUGGGCGGACGCAGACUCCCUGCAGGGCUGCGCAGAAGGGGGCGCCUUCGGGCCGGACGCGCCCCGACCCCGCCCCAGGCCCUCGAACCCGAUCCUCUCCCUGGCUGAGGCGCGCGGCUGGUCUCAAGACCCGGGACUAGCUCCGCUCGGCCUGCGGAAAGGACCCGGAUCCGCGCGCGACCCAGCGCCCCUGCGGAGCCUGGCCUCGACAGUCCUGCUCGAGGGCCCGGGCUGGCACGCCCCGCACCCUCCGCGUCCGCGUGGCCAGGCCGGGCAGCUCUGCGCUGACCCAGGAUUUCCCAGCUGGAGUCGGGGCACCGCCUUUCAGGGCUGCCAGGCAGGCGAGGCAAUGGCCGAAACUGACACCCCAACACCGGUUAAAAUCCCAUUCCUGAUGUGAUGUGCUCAGCUUUGAAGACUCAAAGGAGCAAAGGUCCAGAGAGCAGUGAAGCCCAGGAGACACUUGAGGCUUCGGAGGGAUACGGUACUCCAAGUUAGAUGGAACCAAAAGCUGAACUGAGUCAGCCUGGUUCUGGGUAUGGAAGACCCACCUGAGGAUUGUUGCCAACAGCAUAAAAAGAGAACUGCAGGGGAAGAUCGUUUGCUAUUGAUUUUCUCAGAGAAGCUUGCCACAGCUGGUUUCCCUGAUAUGAACUCGGCUGUUCUCCUCAUCAGAGGAGCUCGGGUCCUUGCUGUCACUGAGGAUGGCUGCUCUUCUCAUCAGAGGAGCUCUGGUCUUCGCCUUGAGCAUCGCUUCCUGGCUCCAGUGCAGAUCUCUCAGCCUGGUGACACAAUUCCUUCACCCUGCUGGCACAGGUUUUCUAGCUUCUACCACUGGCCUUUGGGCUUUCCCAGGGCAGAGCCUCAGUACAGAUUUGCAUGAGACACUGCUGUGGGCUCUAGGCCUCCAGGUGGACUCGAGGAGGACACUGCCUUGGACUCUAGGCCUUCAGCUGGACUUGUCUGGGACAUUGCUUUGGGAUCCAGGCCCUUGGCUGGAUUCUUUGGGUCCCUGGUGCUCAGCUAGAUCUCAUGUACUCCUCUGCAUUUGACUUUUUGGGUGAAAAUUAUAAAAUAAUCCCGUGAAUUAUGUGUCCUGUAUUAAAUUUAUUCCCUUGCAAACCCUGACUACAAUAUUUAAGGUGUACAAUGUGA